UAAUAAGAAGCGAUAUAAAUAGCUUUCAGUUUCGACCUGAAAAAAGGUAAAUUACCCUUAUUAA
RNAcentral lists this transfer RNA (64 nucleotides) under Saussurella borneensis. Its description in RNAcentral is "tRNA-Arg". RNAcentral also lists the same sequence under 1 other name. Lineage: Eukaryota; Metazoa; Arthropoda; Insecta; Orthoptera; Tetrigidae. The record is from RNAcentral.